Molecule: ribosomal RNA, 252 nt
Filed under: uncultured Ruminococcus sp.
Lineage: Bacteria; Bacillati; Bacillota; Clostridia; Eubacteriales; Oscillospiraceae
Description: partial 16S ribosomal RNA
Rfam family: Bacterial small subunit ribosomal RNA
Source: RNAcentral
UACGUAGGGAGCAAGCGUUGUCCGGAAUUACUGGGUGUAAAGGGAGCGUAGGCGGGAUGGCAAGUUGGGUGUUAAAUCUACCGGCUCAACUGGUAGUCGCACUCAAAACUGCUAUUCUUGAGUGAUGGAGAGGCAGGCGGAAUUCCGUGUGUAGCGGUGAAAUGCGUAGAUAUACGGAGGAACACCAGUGGCGAAGGCGGCCUGCUGGACAUUAACUGACGCUGAGGAGCGAAAGCGUGGGGAGCAAACAGG